Molecule: ribosomal RNA, 245 nt
Filed under: uncultured Fibrobacter sp.
Lineage: Bacteria; Pseudomonadati; Fibrobacterota; Fibrobacteria; Fibrobacterales; Fibrobacteraceae
Description: partial 16S ribosomal RNA
Rfam family: Bacterial small subunit ribosomal RNA
Source: RNAcentral
UACGAGGGGUGCAAGCGUUGUUCGGAAUCACUGGGCGUAAAGGGAGCGUAGGCGGAAUCGCAAGCGGAUUGUACAAUACCGGGGCCCAACCCCGGACCUGCAGUCCGAACUGCGGUUCUUGGAUAGUUCAGGGGCAGGCGGAAUUCCUGGUGUAGCGGUGGAAUGCGUAGAGAUCAGGAAGAACACCGAUGGCGAAGGCAGCCUGCUGGGGACUUAUCGACGCUGAGGCUCGAAAGCGCGGGUAG